CGGGCUGGGACUGCGCGGGUGCUGCGUGAGACUUGACGUGCCUUUUAAGAGAAGAAAGAUGCGUGAAGACUGUCCUGCACUUGGUGCAUUCAUAUGGUUUUUCUCCAGCAGAAACUUUCUUGUGCAGGAACUGAUGAGAAAGAAAUGAGUUCAUUAAAAACCAAGGGAAGGAAUGAUGCCAUCCUCACCUACUGAGGCCAGGUUCCGGAAGGUCUCCAGCAUCACAUCUCUGUAGAGGUCCCUCUGAGCAGAAUCCAGCAAAGCCCACUCCUCCAGGGUGAAGUCCACAGCCACAUCCUCAAAGACCACUGAGUCCUAAGACAAACCACACAGGUGUGCAGGAGGAUUGGAGACACUGAAAGUACUGGGGAACUGGACUCAAUUCAUAAAUUCAAACAAGAUUCUGUGGUGUCCCAACACCUCCUCUAUGACGCGAAUGUUAGAUCUUUUACUUA
RNAcentral lists this long non-coding RNA (455 nucleotides) under Homo sapiens (human). RNAcentral describes it as "non-protein coding lnc-ZNF77-165:1". The record is from RNAcentral. Lineage: Eukaryota; Metazoa; Chordata; Mammalia; Primates; Hominidae.